RNAcentral lists this transfer RNA (54 nucleotides) under Sinoxylon sp. SIN01. RNAcentral describes it as "tRNA-Leu". The record is from RNAcentral. Lineage: Eukaryota; Metazoa; Arthropoda; Insecta; Coleoptera; Bostrichidae.
GCAGAAUAGUGCAACAGAUUUAAGAUCUGUAUAUAAAGUUUAAUUUUUUUAGAA